AUUACUUCUAGGCCUUUUGGCUAAGAUCAAGUUUAGUAUGUGUUCUUAUCAGUUUAAUAUUCCCUGAAUAUAUCAGCAAAAAAAAAAAAAAAUGUUCCCUGUCACAUCUU
This 110-nucleotide small nuclear RNA is filed under the name Physeter macrocephalus (sperm whale). RNAcentral describes it as "Physeter catodon (sperm whale) U2 spliceosomal RNA (ENSPCTG00005008666.1)". It matches the Rfam family "U2 spliceosomal RNA". From Rfam's summary of the family: U2 is a small nuclear RNA (snRNA) component of the spliceosome (involved in pre-mRNA splicing). Complementary binding between U2 snRNA (in an area lying towards the 5' end but 3' to hairpin I) and the branchpoint sequence (BPS) of the intron results the bulging out of an unpaired adenosine, on the BPS, which initiates a nucleophilic attack at the intronic 5' splice site, thus starting the first of two transesterification reactions that mediate splicing. The record is from Rfam by way of RNAcentral. Lineage: Eukaryota; Metazoa; Chordata; Mammalia; Artiodactyla; Physeteridae.